GCAAUUCAUGAUAGCUCAGUUGAUGAGAGCAGGGUGCUAAUAACACCAAGGUUGCAGGUUCCACCCCUGUAUGAGGCA
Non-coding RNA from Podarcis lilfordi (Lilford's wall lizard), 78 nucleotides. The record is from the annotation of a GenBank genome assembly. NCBI's taxonomy places the organism in Eukaryota, Metazoa, Chordata, Lepidosauria, Squamata, Lacertidae.